This 469-nucleotide ribosomal RNA is filed under the name uncultured bacterium. Its description in RNAcentral is "partial 16S ribosomal RNA". It matches the Rfam family "Bacterial small subunit ribosomal RNA", at positions 28 to 507 of the family's 1533-position model. The record is from RNAcentral.
GACGAACGCUGGCGGCGUGCUUAAUACAUGCAAGUCGAACGGAAAGGCCCUGCUUGCAGGGUGCUCGUGUUGCGAACGGGUGAGUAACACGUGGGUGAUCUGCCCCUUUCUUUGGGAUAAGCCUCUGAAACUGGGUCUAAUACUUGCUAGUACCAUUCUGUAGGUGGUUUGGUGGAAAGAUUAGUUUCGGUAAGGGAUGAGCUCUCGGCAUAUCAGCUUGUUGUUGGGGUAAUGGUCUACCAAGGCGUCGACGGGUAGCCGGUCUGAGAGGGUGGACGGCCACAUUGAGACUGAGAUAGGGCGCAGACUCCUACGGGAGGCAGCAGUGGGGAAUAGUGCAGAAGGGGCGCAAGCCGGAUGCAGCGACGGCGCGUGGGGGAUGACAGCCUUCGGGUUGUAAACUACUUUCAGCGAUGACGAAGCCCUUGUGGUGACGGUAGUGGUAGAAGAAGCACCGGCUAAAUACGUG